Molecule: ribosomal RNA, 776 nt
Filed under: uncultured Neocallimastigales
Lineage: Eukaryota; Fungi; Neocallimastigomycota; Neocallimastigomycetes; Neocallimastigales
Description: partial large subunit ribosomal RNA
Rfam family: Eukaryotic large subunit ribosomal RNA
Source: RNAcentral
UACUAGAGUAGCACUCGCAUAUCAAUAAGCGGAGGAAAAGAAACUAACAAGGAUUCCCCUAGUAACGGCGAGUGAAGCAGGAAGGAGCUCAAAUUUGAAAUCUUAAAGGGUUUCCCUUUACGAAUUGUAGUUUAAAGAAGUGUUUUCUGUUGAGGUUUUGGUAAAAGUUCUUUGGAAUAGGACAUCAUAGAGGGUGAGAAUCCCGUAUUUGACCUUUACUUUCAACUUUGUGAUACACUUUCAAAGAGUCGGAUUGUUUGGGAAUGCAGUCCAAAAUGGGUGGUAAAUUUCAUCUAAAGCUAAAUAUUGGCGAGAGACCGAUAGCGAACAAGUACCGUGAGGGAAAGAUGAAAAGAACUUUGAAAAGAGAGUUAAACAGUACGUGAAAUUGUCAAAAGGGAAGCGUUUGACACCAGUGUUGUUUUUCUGAAAAUCAAUUAAAGAACUGUUUAUGCUAAGUUGUUUAGACUUUAUCAGCUAAUCUGCUUAGUUUUGAGCUUUUCCUUAAUGCACUUUUCAGUUAACAAGUCAACAUCAAUUUCUUUUGCUGUAAAAAAGCUUGAGGAAGGUGGCUUGAGAUUCGUCUUAAGUGUUUAUAGCCUCUUGCCUAUGCAGUCGGAGAGAUUGAGGUCUGCAGCGUAGAUCCUUCGGGGCUAAAUGCAUUUGUGCUAAGUUAUAGCAUUUUAUAGACAACUUGUUGACUAUGAUUUGUCUUGUAGCUUACUCGCUUAUGUUAUUUUACCUACGCUUAGGAUGUUGAGUAGCGACAUACGCAC